Molecule: ribosomal RNA, 253 nt
Filed under: uncultured bacterium
Lineage: Bacteria
Description: partial 16S ribosomal RNA
Rfam family: Bacterial small subunit ribosomal RNA
Source: RNAcentral
UACAGAGGGGGCAAGCGUUGUUCGGAAUUACUGGGCGUAAAGCGCACGUAGGCGGAUACUUAAGUUAGGGGUGAAAUCCCAGAGCUCAACUCUGGAACUGCCUUUAAUACCGGGUAUCUCGAGUCCGGAAGAGGUGAGUGGAAUUCCGAGUGUAGAGGUGAAAUUCGUAGAUAUUCGGAGGAACACCAGUGGCGAAGGCGGCUCACUGGUCCGGUACUGACGCUGAGGUGCGAAAGCGUGGGGAGCGAACGGG